This 466-nucleotide ribosomal RNA is filed under the name uncultured bacterium. Its description in RNAcentral is "partial 16S ribosomal RNA". It matches the Rfam family "Bacterial small subunit ribosomal RNA", at positions 28 to 507 of the family's 1533-position model. The record is from RNAcentral.
GACGAACGCUGGCGGCGUGCUUAACACAUGCAAGUCGAACGGAAAGGCCCAGCUUGCUGGGUACUCGAGUGGCGAACGGGUGAGUAACACGUGGGUGAUCUGCCCCUGACUUUGGGAUAAGCCUGGGAAACUGGGUCUAAUACCGGAUAUGACCUUACAUCGCAUGGUGUUUGGCGGAAAGCUUUUGCGGUUGGGGAUGGGCCCGCGGCCUAUCAGCUUGUUGGUGGGGUAAUGGCCUACCAAGGCGACGACGGGUAGCCGACCUGAGAGGGUGAUCGGCCACACUGGGACUGGGACACGGCCCAGACUCCUACGGGAGGCAGCAGUGGGGAAUAUUGCACAAUGGGCGCAAGCCUGAUGCAGCGACGCCGCGUGGGGGAUGACGGCCUUCGGGUUGUAAACCUCUUUCACCAGGGACGAAGCGUGAGUGACGGUACCUGGAGAAGAAGCACCGGCCAACUACGUG